Octopus sinensis (East Asian common octopus) is the source of this 186-nucleotide long non-coding RNA. RefSeq lists it as uncharacterized. The transcript has 3 exons. The record is from RefSeq and is a predicted model, not a curated record. Lineage: Eukaryota; Metazoa; Mollusca; Cephalopoda; Octopoda; Octopodidae.
CAACUCGAAAUCCAUUUCAUUUAGUUGAAUUUAGACCCUGACCAUUAACAGGAUCAAUAAGAGCUUUAUUUUUAACAACAGGACUUUCCUCAUGAUUUCACAAUUAUGAAAAUUCCCUUAUUUUUUUGGUCUACUACUUAUAAUUUUAACUAUAGUUCAAUGAUGACAUCGUAAGCGCGUCGUGUA